RNAcentral lists this ribosomal RNA (253 nucleotides) under uncultured bacterium. RNAcentral describes it as "partial 16S ribosomal RNA". It matches the Rfam family "Bacterial small subunit ribosomal RNA", at positions 524 to 776 of the family's 1533-position model. The record is from RNAcentral.
UACGUAGGUGGCAAGCGUUGUCCGGAAUUACUGGGUGUAAAGGGCGUGUAGGCGGGAAUGUAAGUCAGAUGUGAAAUUCCGGGGCUCAACUCCGGGGCUGCAUCUGAAACUAUAUUUCUUGAGUGCUGGAGAGGAAAGCGGAAUUCCUAGUGUAGCGGUGAAAUGCGUAGAGAUUAGGAGGAACACCAGUGGCGAAGGCGGCUUUCUGGACAGUAACUGACGCUGAGGCGCGAAAGCGUGGGGAGCAAACAGG